Molecule: long non-coding RNA, 655 nt
Organism: Lycium ferocissimum
Lineage: Eukaryota; Viridiplantae; Streptophyta; Magnoliopsida; Solanales; Solanaceae
Exons: 2
Source: RefSeq, a predicted model, not a curated record
UCAAAACCUAAACUUCAUCCUUCUCACAUCUUCUCCCUCUCCAGUCCCCAUACCCCCUCCACUACUUUCUCGUAAGUCGAUGCUUCUCCCUUUCAAUUUGAACAGAGCAAAUCAACUAAAAAUCUUUUCAAAAUGUGUUCAUUCUGUUUGCUUUAUUUAUUGUUUUGCGUUUUCCCUUUUUGUUAUAUGCUAAAAAAAUUGGUAAGAAUUAUCAAAGCAUAUAAUUUUUUUUCCUUGAGAUUCUAUUGGCGUUUUUAUUUUUCAAACUUCAUGUCUUCAUCAUUGUAUUAAAGUUUCUUUUGGGUUUACUCAUUCUUUUUGUGCUGAUUAUUCUUAUUUUUCGAAUUUACAGAUGCAUUUUAGUAGCAGGAGUUAGAGAAGAGGAAGAUGACUUCGCACACAUUUGUUUGGCCGUUUUGCUUUCAGCUAUUGAUGCAGGGUAAACCUACUUCAACCUUUCAUUGAAUGCAAGAAGAUCAUCCGGCGGGUGGGAGCAUCACAAUUUUCAGACAAAUACUUAAUUUAUUUUUGGAUAUGAGAUACUUUAGAAUUUUAGAGAUUAAAAUUGAAAUGUAAAACAUAUUGUACAUAGUUUGUAAAUAUCUAUAUUUUAGUUUGACAAGAAUUUGAAUGUGAUGUUUGUUACUAUCAAGCG